This 619-nucleotide ribosomal RNA is filed under the name uncultured bacterium. Its description in RNAcentral is "bacterial SSU rRNA". It matches the Rfam family "Bacterial small subunit ribosomal RNA", at positions 338 to 951 of the family's 1533-position model. The record is from RNAcentral.
CCUACGGGAGGCAGCAGUGGGGAAUUUUGGACAAUGGGCGAAAGCCUGAUCCAGCAAUGCCGCGUGAGUGAAGAAGGCCUUCGGGUUGUAAAGCUCUUUUGUCAGGGAAGAAACGGUGAGAGCUAAUAUCUCUUGCUAAUGACGGUACCUGAAGAAUAAGCACCGGCUAACUACGUGCCAGCAGCCGCGGUAAUACGUAGGGUGCAAGCGUUAAUCGGAAUUACUGGGCGUAAAGCGUGCGCAGGCGGUUUUGUAAGUCUGAUGUGAAAUCCCCGGGCUCAACCUGGGAAUUGCAUUGGAGACUGCAAGGCUAGAAUCUGGCAGAGGGGGGUAGAAUUCCACGUGUAGCAGUGAAAUGCGUAGAUAUGUGGAGGAACACCGAUGGCGAAGGCAGCCCCCUGGGUCAAGAUUGACGCUCAUGCACGAAAGCGUGGGGAGCAAACAGGAUUAGAUACCCUGGUAGUCCACGCCCUAAACGAUGUCUACUAGUUGUCGGGUCUUAAUUGACUUGGUAACGCAGCUAACGCGUGAAGUAGACCGCCUGGGGAUACGGUCGCAAGNUUAAAACUCAAAAGGAAUUGACGGCNGAGAGAGACGAGGACGACGACGAGGGAGGAGG